GAUGAAGAACGUAGCGAAAUGCGAUAAGUAGUGUGAAUUGCAGAUUUCAGUGAAUCAUCGAAUCUUUGAACGCACCUUGCGCCUUGUGGUAUUCCACAAGGCAUGCCCGUUUGAGUAUCAUUAAAUCAUCAACUCUAAAACCUUUGUGGUUUUUUUAGAGCUUGGUCUUGAGGGUUUUGCAGGCUUUUUUUUUUUCGAGUCUGCUCCCUUUAAAUGCAUUAGCGAGACUUCCCUAUGCUGAACCGUCUCUUUGACGUGAUAAUUAUCUGCGUCGAAUUUUGGUUCUCGUUGGGCUUGCUUCUAAUCGUCUGUUAAAGACAAAACGGAUUUGGGUGCAUAUAUGCGCCUUUUUCCAAAACCUUUUUUGAUCUCAAAUCGGGUAGGACUACCCGCUGAACUUAAGCAUAUCAAUAAGCGGAGA
This 421-nucleotide unclassified non-coding RNA is filed under the name soil metagenome. Its description in RNAcentral is "partial contains 5.8S ribosomal RNA, internal transcribed spacer 2, and large subunit ribosomal RNA". The stretch from base 1 to 120 matches the Rfam family "5.8S ribosomal RNA", at positions 35 to 154 of the family's 154-position model. The record is from RNAcentral.